CCUACGGGUGGCAGCAGUGGGGAAUAUUGGACAAUGGGGGGAACCCUGAUCCAGCCAUGCCGCGUGUGUGAAGAAGGCCCUCGGGUUGUAAAGCACUUUCAGUGAGGAAGAACGCCUGGUGGUUAAUACCCAUCAGGAAAGACAUCACUCACAGAAGAAGCACCGGCUAACUCCGUGCCAGCAGCCGCGGUAAUACGGAGGGUGCGAGCGUUAAUCGGAAUUACUGGGCGUAAAGCGCGCGUAGGUGGCUUGAUAAGCCGGUUGUGAAAGCCCUGGGCUCAACCUGGGAACGGCAUCCGGAACUGUCAAGCUAGAGUGCAGGAGAGGAAGGUAGAAUUCCCGGUGUAGCGGUGAAAUGCGUAGAGAUCGGGAGGAAUACCAGUGGCGAAGGCGGCCUUCUGGACUGACACUGACACUGAGGUGCGAAAGCGUGGGUAGCAAACAGGAUUAGAUACCCUAGUAGUC
RNAcentral lists this ribosomal RNA (465 nucleotides) under Vreelandella stevensii. RNAcentral's name for it is "partial 16S ribosomal RNA". It matches the Rfam family "Bacterial small subunit ribosomal RNA", at positions 338 to 795 of the family's 1533-position model. Lineage: Bacteria; Pseudomonadati; Pseudomonadota; Gammaproteobacteria; Oceanospirillales; Halomonadaceae. The record is from RNAcentral.